This is a non-coding RNA of Chiloscyllium plagiosum (whitespotted bambooshark), 1190 nucleotides long. The record is from RefSeq and is a predicted model, not a curated record. NCBI's taxonomy places the organism in Eukaryota, Metazoa, Chordata, Chondrichthyes, Orectolobiformes, Hemiscylliidae.
GGUUAUCUCAAAGGUGGUGCAGAUUGUUUGCAUUUAAUAAUUAACAAGCCAUCCUUGCCACCUAUUAAAAGGAAAAUUUGUUAAAGUAAAGAAGUGUUUCGCCUUCUUAUUUAUCAAUGAAACCUGGUGUGAUUUAUUUUACCUUAGGUAGUGGUCACAGUCAGGCAAACUUGCCUUCCUGGUGAAGAUAUUGGUCAUAUUUAUCCUGUAAUAGUGGGGCUUGAAUUCCAGCUCACUCCUCCCCUCAGGGUCAUGACAAUCUUAAACAAGUAAUCCAACUCUCCCCAGUGUAAAAUAUAGACAAGCAGGAACAAAGUUUGUUGAUGAGCAGAUGACAUGAUAGUGGAUGGAGGAGAUGGAGAGAGACGUGACUUGUCGGCGGGCUUUUGGAGGUUUGAGAUCCCACUACACUCUCAACCGUGUGACAAACCUGCGACUUAAAAAUCAAACCGAGAACUGUUGCUGGGUCAUUUUUGUUUUAACCCGAAGACAGCUGCUGCCAACUGCUCUCACAAAAGUAUCAAAACUCCAGCCUGUAUUUGAGGGAGUGCAAACCUGAAUCUUUGAGGGUCCUAUAUAUUAACCCUUUUGGCUCAUUACCAGCUUCUUGAUUAUGUUGACCUUGUCCAGUGUAGGGCGACCCCCGUAUCCAUGGAAUCGUUUUUCACGGUUUCAGUUACUCACAGUUUACCGCGGCCCCAGCAUAUUUUAAGGAACCUUCUGGAACCAGGGACCAGGAAGCUGCCGGGAAGGCACGUUUCCCACUGAAAUGAAUGGGUUCGCUCCUAUCCACGGUUUCAGGCUACCACGUUAGGACUUGGAAUGUAUCCCUUGUGGGUCCGAGGGGGGAGGGUCUACUGUACUGCCUAAAACCUAACUGGGAAUUCUCAGAGAGAAUGGAAACAGGGCAUCAGAAAGAUUCCAGACUACUGAGGAGCUUGCUUGCUAAUCUUGACCAUCAAAGUGAGGGAUCAAGGGAAAGCAGACUGCAACAAUGUACUCAGGAUGUCUGCGGUAAAACUGACUGCUCAUCAUCAGCAAACAAUUCAAAAACCGGGGGAGAAGCAAACAUGAGUGGACUUUGCGUGUAUUUAAUUGGUAAUUGCAUUGUUCAGUGCUGCCCAAUCAUAAGCCUGGUUUGGAUAUUGCCUUGUGCAUUUGAUUUUUAAGUAAACAUUCUUUGCUUGUUA